AUGGAAGCCCCAUCUCAGCUUCUCUGCCUCCUGUACUCUAGCUCCCAGGUGAGGGGAAGAGGAGAUGAGAAGUUAUGUUGAUGCAGUCUCUUGACUCCUUGUCUUUGUCUUCAGGGAAAAGAGACUCUCUCAUCUGUGUGUGCAGUCAGAGCAUUGGCAGCUCCUUAGCCUGGUAUCAGCAGAAACCUGGAAAAGCUCCCUGGUUCCUCAUCUAAGGCACAUCCAACAGGGCCACUAGCAUCCUGGGGUUUAGUGGUCAUGGAUUGGAGACAGACUUUACUAUCACCAUCAGCUGCCUGAAGCCUAAGAUUUU
Molecule: long non-coding RNA, 313 nt
Filed under: Homo sapiens (human)
Lineage: Eukaryota; Metazoa; Chordata; Mammalia; Primates; Hominidae
Description: non-protein coding lnc-GAB4-2:1
Source: RNAcentral